Macadamia integrifolia is the source of this 1224-nucleotide long non-coding RNA. RefSeq lists it as uncharacterized. The record is from RefSeq and is a predicted model, not a curated record. Lineage: Eukaryota; Viridiplantae; Streptophyta; Magnoliopsida; Proteales; Proteaceae. The transcript is spliced from 2 exons.
UUUGCCCUAUAUAAAUUCAAACCCCCAUGCAACAAAACCAUUCACUGAAAGGCACAGUCCCAACUCAUUCCAUUCUCUAUUUCAAUUCCACAAUGAGGCAUCCCAUUCUGUUAAUUGGCCUUCAAAUAGUAGCAUAUUUUAAUGGUUUUCAAGCUACAAGUGACUUCUCAAAAUUAUGGGAAGAGCAUAUUGGUCUUCCACACCCUCCACAUUGGUUAGCCGCAAAGGUUUCUCCAUUAAGCCUCCAUCAAGCAACAAUGUAUAUGAAACUUAUGGAUAAAAACGAAUUGUCUUCCAACCUACAUUCAUUCUGUAAGGAAGCUAAUAUUGUUUGUUCUACAAAUUUAUUACUGAAGAAGACAAUGGAUACCAAAUCCCUACCACCAAUAGCCAUGUGGAAUCAUGUCAAGUAGAAAUAGGAUGAAGUUCCAAAUGAAACACCCCUAUCUAUUGCCAGCCAAGGGGGAUUGCCAUAUUUUCGAGAGUCAAUGGUGAGAGAGGGAAGUUUCAUGCCUAUCCCUGAUUUAAGGGACCCAAUGUCUUAUAAAUCAUUCUUGCCACAAACUUUGGAAUCAAAAAUCCCAUUUUCCUUUGCCAAGAUUAGGGAAUUGAAGAAGCUUUUUGAUGUGGUGGAUGAAUCAAACAUAGAUGAGUAUAUUCAGGAAAGCCUCAAGAUAUGUGAGGAAAGACCAGUUCAAGGUGAGCAAAGAACAUGUGUGACUUCUGUUGAGGAUCUCAUCGAUUUUGUUGUUCAGACAUUAAGGCACCAUAUAUGUGUAUGGAGUACCGAGAGUGUCGAAGGAUCUUAUGAGAAUGUUACAAUUGGACCUAUGAAACUAAUCCAUGGAAACCUCUCUGAACCACCAGUCUUAUGUCAUAGUAUGCCAUUUCUAUUUCAAGUCUAUUAUUGCCAUGUUUUGCCAAAUUUAAAAAUGUAUGCAGUUGAUAUACAUGCUCAGAAGAAAGUGAAUCAUGUGAUCAUGGCAUGUCACUAUGACACAUCAACUUGGAAUCCAAACAAUCUUGCUUUUAAGCUAUUGGGUUUUGGUCCAGGAUUAAUUGAAGUAUGUCAUUGGAUAAAUGAGAAUGGAUUGGUUUGGACAAAGACCCUGGGUUGAACAACAUUUGAAGAUUUGAUUAUCUUAUAGUUUUCUUGUUUGUGUUACAUGUUACUGCUAAUGUUAUUUGAAGAAUAAAUAAUGACCUAUUAUCACUUGCUUGUUA